Molecule: ribosomal RNA, 424 nt
Filed under: uncultured Planctomycetaceae bacterium
Lineage: Bacteria; Pseudomonadati; Planctomycetota; Planctomycetia; Planctomycetales; Planctomycetaceae
Description: partial 16S ribosomal RNA
Rfam family: Bacterial small subunit ribosomal RNA
Source: RNAcentral
UCGAGAAUCUUCGGCAAUGGGCGCAAGCCUGACCGAGCGACGCCGCGUGCGGGAUGAAGGCCUUCGGGUUGUAAACCGCUGUCAGUGCGGAGGAAAUGCAGUGGGGUUCUCCCCAUUGUUUGACCUAUGCGCAGAGGAAGGACGGGCUAAGUUCGUGCCAGCAGCCGCGGUAAGACGAACCGUCCAAACGUUAUUCGGAAUCACUGGGCUUAAAGGGUGCGUAGGCGGUCUGUUAAGUUGGGUGUGAAAGACCUCGGCCUAACCGAGGAAUGGCGCCCAAAACUAGCGGACUUGAGCAAGGCAGAGGUGAACGGAACUAAGGGUGGAGCGGUGAAAUGCGUUGAUAUCCUUAGGAACACCAGUAGCGAAAGCGGUUCACUGGGCCUUUUCUGACGCUGAUGCACGAAAGCCAGGGGAGCGAACG